GCCCUCUGGUUGAUCCUGGCGGCAGGCCUAACACAUGCAAGUCGAGCGGUAACAUUUCUAGCUUGCUAGAAGAUGACGAGCGGCGGACGGGUGAGUACAACUUGGGAAUCUGCCUGAUGGAGGGGGACAACCACUGGAAACGGUGGCUAAUACCGCAUAAUCUUUUCGGAGCAAAGUGUGGGACCUUCGGGCCACACGCCAUCAGAUGAGCCCAAGCAAGAUUAGGUAGUUGGUGGGGUAAAGGCCUACCAAGCCGACGAUCUUUAGCUGGUCUGAGAGGAUGAUCAGCCACACUGGGACUGAGACACGGCCCAGACUCCUACGGGAGGCAGCAGUGGGGAAUAUUGGACAAUGGGGGCAACCCUGAUCCAGCCAUGCCGCGUGUGUGAAGAAGGCCUUCGGGUUGUAAAGCACUUUCAGUGGUGAGGAAGGGUGUGUUGUUAAUAGCAACAUACAUUGACGUUAGCCACAGAAGAAGCACCGGCUAACUCCGUGC
This 496-nucleotide ribosomal RNA is filed under the name uncultured bacterium. RNAcentral's name for it is "bacterial SSU rRNA". It matches the Rfam family "Bacterial small subunit ribosomal RNA", at positions 28 to 508 of the family's 1533-position model. The record is from RNAcentral.